Molecule: ribosomal RNA, 504 nt
Filed under: uncultured bacterium
Lineage: Bacteria
Description: bacterial SSU rRNA
Rfam family: Bacterial small subunit ribosomal RNA
Source: RNAcentral
AUGAACGCUGGCGGCGUGCUUAACACAUGCAAGUCGAACGGAACAUUUCGCCCGAAGAUUGAAGUAGCUUGCUAUGGAUUGACUCAACUGAAAUGUUAGUGGCGGACGGGUGAGUAACGCGUGGGUAACCUACCUUACACAGGGGGAUAACAGUUAGAAAUGACUGCUAAUACCGCAUAAGCGCACAGUAUCGCAUGAUACAGUGUGAAAAACUCCGGUGGUGUAAGAUGGACCCGCGUCUGAUUAGCUAGUUGGUGAGGUAACGGCCCACCAAGGCGACGAUCAGUAGCCGGCCUGAGAGGGUGAACGGCCACAUUGGAACUGAGACACGGUCCAAACUCCUACGGGAGGCAGCAGUGGGGAAUAUUGCACAAUGGGGGAAACCCUGAUGCAGCGACGCCCGCGUGAGUGAUGAAGUAUUUCGGUAUGUAAAGCUCUAUCAGCAGGGAAGAUCAUGACGGUACCUGACUAAGAAGCUCCGGCUAAAUACGUGCCAGCCGCUGC